GACGAACGCUGGCGGCGUGCCUAAUACAUGCAAGUAGAACGCUGAAGGAGGAGCUUGCUUCUCUGGAUGAGUUGCGAACGGGUGAGUAACGCGUAGGUAACCUGCCUGGUAGCGGGGGAUAACUAUUGGAAACGAUAGCUAAUACCGCAUAAGAGUAGAUGUUGCAUGACAUUUGCUUAAAAGGUGCAAUUGCAUCACUACCAGAUGGACCUGCGUUGUAUUAGCUAGUUGGUGAGGUAACGGCUCACCAAGGCAACGAUACAUAGCCGACCUGAGAGGGUGAUCGGCCACACUGGGACUGAGACACGGCCCAGACUCCUACGGGAGGCAGCAGUAGGGAAUCUUCGGCAAUGGACGGAAGUCUGACCGAGCAACGCCGCGUGAGUGAAGAAGGUUUUCGGAUCGUAAAGCUCUGUUGUAAGAGAAGAACGAGUGGAGAGGGAAAGUUCACA
This 452-nucleotide ribosomal RNA is filed under the name Streptococcus mitis. Its description in RNAcentral is "bacterial SSU rRNA". It matches the Rfam family "Bacterial small subunit ribosomal RNA", at positions 28 to 468 of the family's 1533-position model. Lineage: Bacteria; Bacillati; Bacillota; Bacilli; Lactobacillales; Streptococcaceae. The record is from RNAcentral.